Buceros rhinoceros silvestris is the source of this 46-nucleotide non-coding RNA. Lineage: Eukaryota; Metazoa; Chordata; Aves; Bucerotiformes; Bucerotidae. The record is from Rfam.
CCAAAGGCUCUUUUAAGAGCCACCGAUUUUUUCAAGUAAAAGGGCU